RNAcentral lists this ribosomal RNA (520 nucleotides) under uncultured Glomeraceae. Its description in RNAcentral is "SSU rRNA". It matches the Rfam family "Eukaryotic small subunit ribosomal RNA", at positions 569 to 1092 of the family's 1831-position model. Lineage: Eukaryota; Fungi; Glomeromycota; Glomeromycetes; Glomerales; Glomeraceae. The record is from RNAcentral.
AGCAGCCGCGGUAAUUCCAGCUCCAAUAGCGUAUAUUAAAGUUGCUGCAGUUAAAAAGCUCGUAGUUGAAUUUCGGGAUCAAUAUGUUGGUCGUGCCUCGGUACGUACUAGCUUAUUGGUUUCUCCCUUCUGAUGAACCAUGAUGUCAUUUAUUUGGUGUUAUGAGGAAUCAGGACUGUUACUUUGAAAAAAUUAGAGUGUUUAAAGCAGGCUCACGCUUGAAUACAUUAGCAUGGAAUAAUGAAAUAGGACGUUUGAUUCUAUUUUGUUGGUUUCUAGGAUCGACGUAAUGAUUAAUAGGGAUAGUUGGGGGCAUUAGUAUUCAAUUGUCAGAGGUGAAAUUCUUGGAUUUAUUGAAGACUAACUACUGCGAAAGCAUUUGCCAAGGAUGUUUUCAUUAAUCAAGAACGAAAGUUAGGGGAUCGAAGACGAUCAGAUACCGUCGUAGUCUUAACCAUAAACUAUGCCGACUAGGGAUCGGAUGAUGUUAAUUUUUUAAUGACUCAUUCGGCGCCUUACG